Molecule: non-coding RNA, 321 nt
Organism: Vicia faba (fava bean)
Lineage: Eukaryota; Viridiplantae; Streptophyta; Magnoliopsida; Fabales; Fabaceae
Source: the annotation of a GenBank genome assembly
AUGGAACUCGCAACGACGCGAUUUCAGCUUGUGGCCUUUGGCGUUCGUAGUCGGCGCGACCUUCUAUGGCAUGUAGGUCGGAAGCACUCGAUCGGAGGGAGAGGAUCGGCAAUCGUCGGAGGGAGUACGGUGACGGUACCCGUUGUUGUGCGUGAGGUGGUGCUCGGCCUUGGACGGUUCGGUUGGAGCAUCGCGUCGGCGUCGGGAACAGAGCUAGUCCAGCGUUGUGAUGGCUGUAGCGAAGGACUGAGCCGAGGUCGUUUGUGUCGGAUCCGGCGGCUUCUCUUUCUCAUCUUCUUCAUCCUUUUGCUUUUCCUGUAA